CUAUAGCUCAGCUGGGAGAGCGCUUGCAUGGCAUGCAAGAGGUCGACGGUUCGAUCCCGUCUAGCUCCACCA
RNAcentral lists this transfer RNA (72 nucleotides) under Shewanella algae. RNAcentral describes it as "tRNA-Ala". It matches the Rfam family "tRNA". Rfam says of the family: Transfer RNA (tRNA) molecules are approximately 80 nucleotides in length. Lineage: Bacteria; Pseudomonadati; Pseudomonadota; Gammaproteobacteria; Alteromonadales; Shewanellaceae. The record is from RNAcentral.